RNAcentral lists this ribosomal RNA (472 nucleotides) under uncultured bacterium. RNAcentral describes it as "bacterial SSU rRNA". It matches the Rfam family "Bacterial small subunit ribosomal RNA", at positions 59 to 518 of the family's 1533-position model. The record is from RNAcentral.
AAGUCGAGGGGCAGCAGGACGAUAGCUUGCUAUGUUGCUAGGCGACCGGCGCACGGGUGAGUAACGCGUAUCCAACCUUCCCCUUAGUAGGGCAUAGCCCGGUGAAAAUCGGAUUAAUACCCUAUGUUGUGUCAUGAGGACAUCUGAAUAACACUAAAGAUUUAUCGCUAAGGGAUGGGGAUGCGUCCGAUUAGGUAGUCGGCGGGGUAACGGCCCACCGAGCCCUCGAUCGGUAGGGGUUCUGAGAGGAAGGUCCCCCACACUGGUACUGAGACACGGACCAGACUCCUACGGGAGGCAGCAGUGAGGAAUAUUGGUCAAUGGGCGCGAGCCUGAACCAGCCAAGUAAGCGUGCAGGAUGACGGCCCUAUGGGUUGUAAACUGCUUUUUAUACGGGGAUAAAGUGAGGGACGUGUCCCUUAUUGUAGGUACCGUAUGAAUAAGGACCGGCUAAUUCCGUGCCAGCCGCCGC